AUCGAGCUGAUCAGUCUCAAAUAAGACGAAACGCACUUCCUGGAU
This 45-nucleotide non-coding RNA is filed under the name Schistosoma mattheei. Lineage: Eukaryota; Metazoa; Platyhelminthes; Trematoda; Strigeidida; Schistosomatidae. The record is from RNAcentral.